Molecule: transfer RNA, 74 nt
Filed under: Mus musculus (house mouse)
Lineage: Eukaryota; Metazoa; Chordata; Mammalia; Rodentia; Muridae
Also listed under: 1 other name
Rfam family: tRNA
About the family: Transfer RNA (tRNA) molecules are approximately 80 nucleotides in length. Their secondary structure includes four short double-helical elements and three loops (D, anti-codon, and T loops).
Source: Rfam by way of RNAcentral
GUAGAAGUGGCUCAGCAGUUAAGAGCUCUGGCUGCUCUUCCAGAUGGUCCUGAGUUCAAUUCCCAGCUACCACA